AGUUGUUCUAGACAUGCUCUCGAAUCGGGCUCCCCGCAUAUUUGUGCGGCCAACUGUUUCGUAGCUUGUCUCUUGAGCGUCCCGCCCGAUGCACAUAUUUUGCUUGCCCGGUGCGAUUAAUGGGUUGUUGCCUGUGUUGCUACUUUUUUUUGGGAUGAUGUCUGUUUAUGACUACGGUGUGUCAUGUGGCCUUCGAUUAUGAUUUUGAAAAAACUUCUGCGGGCUAUUGAAACAUCGGCUUUGUUCGGGAGCGACCGAUGGGUCUCGACUCAUCCGCAGCUCGCGUCAUAUUAUAUGAGCAGCUCUUUCGGAUACGGUGGCUAAGUGGGUUCUUGUGGUCCUGUGUGGUCCGCAUGCGACCUCGUAGUACACACCUGGAACAGCUCCAUCUUUGCGUCCCUGUUUUUGCUCUCGUGCGGGAGCAAAGGCGGGGCGUAGGGAUGCGGAUGCUGGCAUAUGUGGGCGGUGUUGUACGUGUGGGAGUUCUAUGAUAUAAUAGUGAUUGCGUUGCGUGCAUGCUGGCAUACCGUCCGGAGUGCUUCAGCAGCUCGCACGCUCACUUUUUUGACUCGCUACCUGGUUGAUCCUGCCAGUAU
Molecule: unclassified non-coding RNA, 596 nt
Filed under: Scleria zambesica
Lineage: Eukaryota; Viridiplantae; Streptophyta; Magnoliopsida; Poales; Cyperaceae
Description: partial external transcribed spacer 1
Source: RNAcentral